Xyrichtys novacula (pearly razorfish) is the source of this 2525-nucleotide non-coding RNA. The record is from the annotation of a GenBank genome assembly. Lineage: Eukaryota; Metazoa; Chordata; Actinopteri; Labriformes; Labridae.
GUUGUUUUGUCCCUUUUUAUUAAAAAGGUUCUUUUUCUUUUACCCCAAAACACUGUUGGUUGGUUUGUUUGCUUUAUAAAGAGAUCAUGCAUAGAAAUACAGCUGGUCUUUGUCCGACAGCAUCAAAAAAACUUGCAUCGAUGUACACACUCCUCUCGUUAAUAUGUACAUACAUGAGCUGUGGUUCAUCGAAACCACACAGACACUGAGAAAGACACUGAGUUUGACCUUUGACCUGCAGGAGAUUACACAACAAAACACUCAAACGUCCUCUGAUUCCUCACGCUUUGGUUGAUCUUAUUGCUUCAUUACUGUGUAACCCUGUGCUCUUUUACGAUGUUUUAUUUUACAUUUUUGGUAUAAUUUCUAAAUGAUUUUAUAGCCAAAAUGAGCCGGGCCGAUAGAUAAAUAAAUAAACUCAGAUUGAUUGUCUUUAAAUGGAGAUAUUCCUCCUAAAAUAACCUCAAACAGAUAACAUGGCACUUUAACAACCCAAACAUCCACACAAAGCAAAACCAUCAAGGCUAGUAUUGCACAGUAACCCAAAAAAUUGCAUAUUUUUGUAGAAGUAAAAGAUGGCAGUGAUGCCACAGUUCAUGCACAAAAAAACAAAAACAGCUAACCUACUAUACAGAGAAAUCAAGACAACUUAAAUAACAACACCAGUGUAAAAUACCAGAUUUGAGGAUUUGCACAGUGAGACUCAGAAAUCCUGCAGAAGUUUAGAAGAAAGACUUUUUUCUUAAAAGUGAUUGUCAUCUUGAGGGAAGCCCAAACUUUCAAAUAUUCACAAAUUUAGCUUAAAAAAUAACAAAAACAUCUAAAAUAUAUUCAAAAAAAUAAACUCGUGGUCCAUUAUCUGGUUAUAAAACUGAAAUGUCGUCUUUUUGGACCGUUCACGCUCAAAUAAACAGCUUUUCAUCGUAAAAUCAUCUCUUUUGAGUCUGUAACUCAUGCUUGCUUUUAGUAGUACUGGUUCAUUUCGCAGCUGCUCACCACAGCGCCUCCACCAGGCGGGUUUCCACACUGCAGGUUUGAGUUUCAGCAGGACAAACUGGGUUGGACCCACGUGACUCCACGUUUGACAGAAACACGCUGGAGUUUCAGCAAAAGUUCAUAAAUUUGUGUUUAAACUCCGAGUAAAUGUGAGAAAAAUUCAUCUACCUGCUAUUCGACUAAACCGCAUAUUGGUAGUUCUAGUAUUUUCUUAGUAGUCGGCCAUUUUAAUGACGCUUUGAGUACGAUCAGGACAAAACAGAACAAAAGCUACUGGACUGUCAGAGAGUAUGGCUUUGUUUCCACAAGCUGCUGAAACCACAUGCAACUACUCUACACGCUAACUACGAACAGGAGCCUCCGCAGAGAGAGGCCGACAGGAAGCACUUUCAGUUUGGUUUUGGCUCUUUAAAGCCCCUCUCCCGCUGGGGUCAGGUGGUCACUGAAGGACAAGGCCGAGGUCGGCGUCUGACCGAGAACUGGAGAUCGAAGAGUGGACGAGAGUGGACAUGUUUCAAAACAGGAGUUUGACUUUUUCUGUUUUUAUCCUCCUGAAACCACCAAGACGAGUUCAACAAGACAUACGCUGCAGUUCCUUUAGUGUCCACUUGGGGCAGCAGAGGAGUCCCCAUGAUCACCCAUUUUAAGACGCCCGUUGAAAUAUUUAUGAUUACCGCCUGGAGCAGCAGGGUUCUGUUGGAAUUAUUCAGAUCUGUAAACAUGUUCAUUUCUGCUGCAAAGUUGAACAUUCUUACAUGGAGCUCUAUGAGGAUUGAAUCAGGUAAGGAGGCAGCCUCUAGUGGCCACUUCAGGUACUGCAACUUUUGGAAGAACUGGGUAAAACCGACACGCUUACCCCCAAUUUCCACCGCAUCCGGAACGGCUACGAAAAGGUCGUAUCCUCCGAUCAUAGAUGAUCGUAACCAUUCAAGUCGGACUCCUCAGCUGAUCACAAGAGUUCUGUUUUUCCCCAACGCCAGAUGAGGGGAGACGAACAAGUGAAAGGUUUUCAGACGUCAUUUCACCCCGAUGACACCAUGGAUGAGGAGAUGCUGAUUCUAGAAGUCUAGAAGUAGAUUUCCUCCUCUGGAAGGACACAAUCUACUGCUUAUAUGUCUAUGUGUCUGUCUUUAUAGGGACAACGAUUGCAUGUGUAUCCGAUGCUUUUUGAGAGUUCUCGCGAUUCCUGCUGUCGGUAAUCCGCCACGAAAUUCGCCUCACAAACCGAUCUGGUAGGAAUUGGCAGAAAAAUCGCAGCCAUUCCGGAUGCGGUGGAAAUCUCAGGUUACAUGAAGCUCUAUAAGGAUUGACUCAGAUAAGGAGGCAGCCUCUAGUGGCCACUUAAGGUACAGCAACUUUUGGAAGAACUGGGUAAAACUGACACUCUUAAUCCGAAGUUCUGGGUCAUCAGGCGAGCUCAGACCGGUCUCAUAUCGAACAGAGAAAACAUUUCAGCUGACGCCUCGACUCGAACCCUCAUCGCACCCGCGCUCACGACAAAGCCACCACAGUCACGAACACUCGUUAAC